AAUAGAUACCCAGGUAGUCCACGCCGUAAACGAUGAAUACUAGGUGUAGGGGUUGUCACGACCUCUGUGCCGCCGCUAACGCAUUAAGUAUUCCGCCUGGGGAGCACGGUCGCAAGAUUAAAACUCAAAGGAAUUGACGGGGGCCCGCACAAGCAGCGGAGCAUGUGGUUUAAUUCGAAGCAACGCGAAGAACCUUACCUAGACUUGACAUCUCCUGCAUUACCCUUAAUCGGGGAAGUUCCUUCGGGGAACAGGAAGACAGGUGGCGCAUGGUUGUCGUCAGCUCGUGUCGUGAGAUGUUGGGUUAAGUCCCGCAACGAGCGCAACCCUUAUUGUUAGUUGCUACCAUUUAGUUGAGCACUCUAGCGAGACUGCCCGGGUUAACCGGGAGGAAGGUGGGGAUGGACGUCAAAUCAUCAUGCCCCUUAUGUCUAGGGCUACACACGUGCUACAAUGGCAAGUACAAAGAGAAGCAAGACCGCGAGGUGGAGCAAAACGUCAAAAACUUGUCUCAGUUCGGAUUGUAGGCUGAAACUCGCCUACA
This 544-nucleotide ribosomal RNA is filed under the name uncultured bacterium. RNAcentral describes it as "bacterial SSU rRNA". It matches the Rfam family "Bacterial small subunit ribosomal RNA", at positions 777 to 1320 of the family's 1533-position model. The record is from RNAcentral.